UGAUUUGAAGAACAUAUGCUAUUAGAAUGAUUUAAUUGUUGACCUUGUGGAUGAUGAUGAAUGAAUAUUGAAUUUGCAUAAUGUAAAAGUUUUGUUUGUUGACUUUUUAUUUUAUUUUUUAAUUUUAAUUUUUUCCUUCUAGGUGGGAUAAUGAUGAACCUGGAAAGUUAGAGCUUUCGACAUGGCACACAUAUAUUUCAGUAGUCCUGUGCUUGAUCAUAAUUUCUUUGGCAUGUUGGUUGGGACUCGUAGCAGCUUGAAACUUUUGGCAUACUGAUAUUUAUUAGUGGCACUAGUAGGAACUUGGAAUUAAAAAUUAAAAUUAAAAGUUUUGAAAAGUUUAUUUUGUGAUUUUAUGAUGAUGAAUCCAUGUAUUUAAAAAUGUUAUAUUUUAUUAAAGACUUUGUUUAUUAACGUUUGGAUAUAUCUAUAUAUAUAUAAUAUGAAUGCUUAUAUUUACCUCUUUAACCUUAUCAUCUUUCUUGAAUUAAUUAUUGGUCUUUUUUUUGCUGUAUGUACAUAUAUUUUGAUAGUGCAUACAUCUUGUGGAGAUGGGUUCAAACCGCCAACCACACAACAUAUAUAUAUAUAUAUAUAAUAUGAAUGCUUAUAUUUACCUCUUUAACCUUAUCAUCUUUCCUGAAUUAAUUAUUGGUCUUUUUUGCUGUAUGUACAUAUAUUUUGAUAGUGCAUACAUCUUGUGGAGAUGGGUUCAAACCACCAACCACACAACACCAUAAUAUGGAAGAAAUAGAAAAAUGAUCUUUGAGUUGACAAUUAUUUUUUUUCGAUAAAUAAACAUCAAUAUAUAAGCAAAGGCAAACGCCGCAAAGCAUACAGGGAGUAUACAAGGCGACAAAGGCCACACAACAACAACAAAAACGAGAACAACAAAAACCCACCAGCCCUCAACUGGAGGCUAUCCACUCCAGGAAUCCUAUAAGGGACCGGGACUCCGCACCAUUAUACAAUUU
This 974-nucleotide long non-coding RNA is filed under the name Vitis vinifera (wine grape). RNAcentral's name for it is "long non-coding RNA (VVIN_LNC001336)". Lineage: Eukaryota; Viridiplantae; Streptophyta; Magnoliopsida; Vitales; Vitaceae. The record is from RNAcentral.